This 498-nucleotide ribosomal RNA is filed under the name uncultured Glomeromycotina. Its description in RNAcentral is "partial small subunit ribosomal RNA". It matches the Rfam family "Eukaryotic small subunit ribosomal RNA", at positions 591 to 1092 of the family's 1831-position model. The record is from RNAcentral. Lineage: Eukaryota; Fungi; Glomeromycota.
CCAAUAGCGUAUAUUAAAGUUGCUGCAGUUAAAAAGCUCGUAGUUGAAUUUCGGGAUCAAUAUGUUGGUCGUGCCUUAGUACGUACUAGCUUAUUGAUUUCUCCCUUCUGACGAACCAUGAUGUCAUUAAUUUGGUGUCAUGGGGAAUCAGAACUGUUACUUUGAAAAAAUUAGAGUGUUUAAAGCAGGCUCACGCUUGAAUACAUUAGCAUGGAAUAAUGAAAUAGGACGUUUGAUUCUAUUUUGUUGGUUUCUAGGAUUGACGUAAGGAUUAAUAGGGAUAGUUGGGGGCAUUAGUAUUCAAUUGUCAGGGGUGAAAUUCUUGGAUUUAUUGAAGACUAACUACUGCGAAAGCAUUUGCCAAGGAUGUUUUCAUUAAUCAAGAACGAAAGUUAGGGGAUCGAAGACGAUCAGAUACCGUCGUAGUCUUAACCAUAAACUAUGCCGACUAGGGAUCGGAUGAUGUUAAUUUUCUAAUGACUCAUUCGGCGCCUUACG